This 271-nucleotide ribosomal RNA is filed under the name uncultured archaeon. RNAcentral describes it as "partial 16S ribosomal RNA". It matches the Rfam family "Archaeal small subunit ribosomal RNA", at positions 477 to 747 of the family's 1478-position model. The record is from RNAcentral.
CAGCGCCACAAGUGGGAGCCAUUUUUAUUGGGUCUAAAGCGUCCGUAGCUGGUCUGGUAAAUCUCUUGUGAAAUCGUCGGACUCAAUCUGACGGCGCGCAGGAAAGACUGCCAGGCUUGGAACCGGGAGGGGUCAGAGGUAUUCUAGGGGGAGCGGUAAAAUGCGAUAAUCCCUAGAGGACCACCUGUGGCGAAGGCGUCUGACCAGAACGGAUUCGACAGUGAGGGACGAAAGCUAGGGGAGCGAUCCGGAUUAGAUACCCGAGUAGUCC